UACGUAGGGUGCAAGCGUUAUCCGGAAUUAUUGGGCGUAAAGAGCUCGUAGGCGGUUUGUCACGUCUGCUGUGAAAACUGGAGGCUCAACCUCCAGCCUGCAGUGGGUACGGGCAGACUAGAGUACGGAAGAGGCGAGUGGAAUUCCUGGUGUAGCGGUGGAAUGCGCAGAUAUCAGGAGGAACACCAAUAGCGAAGGCAGCUCGCUGGGACGUUACUGACACUAAGGCGCGAAAGCGUGGGGAGCGAACAGG
Molecule: ribosomal RNA, 253 nt
Filed under: uncultured bacterium
Lineage: Bacteria
Description: partial 16S ribosomal RNA
Rfam family: Bacterial small subunit ribosomal RNA
Source: RNAcentral